Molecule: long non-coding RNA, 270 nt
Filed under: Brassica rapa (field mustard)
Lineage: Eukaryota; Viridiplantae; Streptophyta; Magnoliopsida; Brassicales; Brassicaceae
Description: long non-coding RNA (BRAP_LNC006541)
Source: RNAcentral
AAUUUAUACGUAUAAUAUUAUAAAUUUUAAAAUAAGAUAAUUUUAUGUCUUAUGUUGUUAUCUUGAAAUAAUAUUUUUCUAUUAUAAAAGUUAGAAAUUAAGAUAUAAAACAAUUUAUAAUUAAAUAUUAAUCUAGCAAAAAUAUUUGUACAAAGCUAUUUUAUAAAAUAUUAAAUAAUUUGAUGUUUGAUUUAAUUUCUUUUUAAAACAUAAAUAAUAAUUUCUCAUGCUGGUUUUAAAAUUUACAAAACAUAAAGUAACAAAUAUUCG